UGGCGCGCCUCACCCCGGGCGACCCCGGAAGUGGGUCGGGGGCUUGGCCUCUGCCCGGCCUCGGAGCCGGCGCGGGAGGUGUAACCCCGGAGGGGUCCGGCCGAGCGAUCCCGUCCAGCGGCGGACCCUAGGCAGGGCCCGGGCCGGGGGUCCAGGAUGCUGAACAUCCCUUCCCAGUCUUUCCCAGCCCCCCGCUCGCAGCAGCGCGCCGCCUCCGGGGGGCGUAGCAAGGUACCUCUAAAACAGGGCAGAAGUCUUAUGGAUUGGAUUAGACUGACCAAAAGUGGAAAGGACUUAACAGGAUUAAAAGGCAGGUUAAUUGAAGUAACUGAAGAAGAACUUAAAAAACACAACAAAAAAGAUGAUUGUUGGAUAUGCAUAAGAGGGUUUGUUUACAAUGUUAGCCCAUAUAUGGAGUAUCAUCCUGGUGGAGAAGAUGAAUUAAUGAAAGCAGCAGGCUCAGAUGGAACAGACCUUUUUGAUCAGGUUCAUCGUUGGGUCAAUUAUGAAUCCAUGCUGAAAGAAUGCCUGGUCGGCAGGAUGGCAGUGAAACCUGCUGUUCCCAAAGACUAUCAUGAGGAAAAGAAAGUCUUAAAUGGCAUGCUUCCCAAGAGCCAAGUACCAGAUGCACUUGCCAAAGACGGCCCGGUUUCUCCAAGCUAUGACUGGUUCCAAACAGACUCUUUAGUCACCAUUGUCAUAUAUACUAAGCAGAAGGAUGUCAAUUUAGACUCAGUAAGAGUUGAUCAUCAGUAUGAUUCCUUUAGAGCAGAAACUAUCAUCAAGGAUUAUUCAUAUCUUAUACAUAUUGAGCUAAGCCAUGCGAUUCAAGAAGAUUUUUCUGUGCGGGUUGUUGCAAAUGUGGGAAAGAUAGAGAUUGUCCUAAAGAAAAAAGAGAAUACUUCUUGGGAAUGUCUUGGUAAUCCCCUGGAGAACCACAAUUCACUUAUUCCAAAGAAAGAUACAGGUUUGUACUACAGAAAGUGCCAGUUAAUUUCCAAGGAAGAUGCCACUCAUGAUACGAAGCUUUUCUGCUUGAUGCUGCCACCAAGCACUCACCUUCAGGUGCCAAUUGGGCAACAUGUUUACCUCAAGCUAACUAUUGCAGGUACUGAAAUAGUGAAGCCAUAUACACCUGUAUCUGCUUCCUUACUCUCAGAGUUUAAGGAACCAGUUAUUCCCAAUAAUAAAUACAUCUACUUUCUGAUCAAAAUCUAUCCUGCUGGACUCUUUACACCAGAGCUUGAUCAUCUUCAGAUUGGAGAUUUUGUUUCCGUAAGCAAUCCUGAAGGCAAUUUUAAAAUAUCCCAGUUCCAAGAAUUGGAAGAUCUCUUUUUAUUGGCAGCUGGAACAGGCUUCACACCAAUGGUUAAAAUACUAAAUUAUGCUUUGACCAAUAUAUCCAGUCUCAGGAAGGUGAAGCUGAUGUUCUUCAAUAAAACAGAGGAUGAUAUAAUUUGGAGAAGCCAAUUGGAGAAAUUAGCAUUUAAAGAUAAAAGGCAAACCAUUCGGAGACCCAAUUUUCCACUUCUUUGUACGUUUUGAAGUGCUGCUCAGAAAGUGGGUGUGCCAUCGAUCGGAACAGUGGUAAUCUGAAGGAGCAAGGUCUAGUGAAUACAGCGGGUGGGUUAAUACUUCCCAGGCAAGAUCUUUUAAUGUAUCUUUAACUGGUUUUGCAGUAUAUGAUGGUGCAUUAUCAUGAAGCAAAAUUACUUUGCCAUGUCUUCUGGCACAUUCUGGUCAUUUCACGAUCAAAGCAUGGUUCAAAUUGAUUAUUUGUUGUCGGUAGCGAUCAGUAUUAACGGUUUCACCUGGUUUUAGAAGCUCAUUAUACACCACACCUUCCUAAUCCCACCAAACACAGAGCAUUGUCUUCUUUACGAAGAGAUUUGGCCUUGCAGUUGAUGUUGAUGGGUGACCUGAAUCAACCCAUGAUUUUGUGCAUUUGGGAUUCUCAAAAUCCACUUUUCAUCGCCAGUCACAAUUCGAUGCAAAAAAGACUUUCUUUGGUGCCAUUGAAGCAACAUUUUACUAAUGACUUUUCGGUUUUCCAUUUGUCUUUCGUUUAGUUGAUGCGGCACCUAUUUUCCUUCCUUUAAAAUAUUUCCCAUUGCUUGUAAACUAUUGGAAAUUAUUUGCUGAGCAACAUUUAAUCUUUCUGCAAGUUGUUUUUGAGUUUGACAUGCAUCUUCACCCAAUAAUGCUUGUAAUUGUUGGUCUUCAAACUUUUUCGGUUGACCUGGAUGCUCUUUGUCUUUCACAUCGAAACCAUCACUUUUAAAGCAUUCAUAAGUAUCUCGAGAUGAAGCAUGUUCACCAUAAGCUCCUGGAAAUAUUCAGCAGCACUUUUUUUCUAAAUAAAGUAAUGAAUUAUAACUUCCCGCAAAUGCUCUUUCUUUGACAUGAAGUUGGACAUUUUUAAGUGUAAAAAUAUCUAUGAUGUUAACACCUUCAGCAAAUUCGACAUAUGAAGUUUUGAAGCUUGUUGUCAAUACAAUAAAAUAGCAUACAUGUGAAAUCGCAUAUAGUAAGUAUAUCAACAUAUGUUGCAGUCUCAAUCCUGCAACAUUAACCGGUACACCUAUUAUUUAUUCUUCUUACAUAGUCAAGACAUAAACCUAAGAAUAUUUACAAUAUGUAGGUAAUUAUAUGGCAAUUAGAGGAUGAUUUAGAAAGAAAUACAAAGUCCUAGGUUUUCAAGUGUCUUUUACACUAGUUUUCGAAGUGGAAGAUUGAAAGUAGCACUUAUUGAAAAGCCUAAAAACCUAAAUUCUAGUUUUUAUUCUACCUUUACUAGCUUGAAACUUUAUUCAAAAAUUACUUAGUUUUGUGGACCUGUCUCUUUAGCUUCAAAUAAAAUGAUUCUUUCCUACUUUCCUACUUCAUAAGGCUAUUGUGAGGAUUAGAAAAGGGUAAAUGCUUUGGAAACUGUGACGCCUACCUCAGAUAUUUGAAUUGUGGUUAUGGAGGACCUUUGUCUACAUGUGUUUCGUUUCUGUAUUAUCCAAGUUUCUGUUUUCCUAAGCAUUUAAAAUAAUUUAAACACACCUAGAUAGGUUUUUUUUAGUUAGGUUUUUUAAAAAGUAUUUUUGGCUAUGUUUUUAUAUUCUCUAAGAUAGUUCCUUUAUAAAGAAGAGUCAAUUUACUAACAUUUUAAUGAACAGACAUGUACUUUCAGUCAAUAGGAGUGAAUUUUGAUUUAAGAAGUAAUUAGUAAAUCGGAGUGUGUUGAUAGAUAGCCUCCGAGAAUGAAGUGUCUUUUGACAGAGUCACCUGUGUGUUUUGUUCUGUUUUGUUCCCGCCUACAUAAUUUGGGUGGUGGAAUGGCAUAGUCUGUGGUGUGGAGGAUGAGGAAAGGCCUCUCUUUCCCUCACCUGGAUGCCUGGCUCUAGCAGCACUCCCCAGAUUUGAUGUUGAAUUUGUUCUCUCAAAACCUACUUCUGAAUGGAAUGGGAAAAAGGGACACAUUUCAUUAGAUCUUCUUUCUGAAUUUAUAAAAAGAAGUUUAGACAAAUCCAAAGUUCUCAUCUGCAUUUGUGGACCAGUG
Molecule: RNA transcript, 3547 nt
Organism: Myotis daubentonii (Daubenton's bat)
Lineage: Eukaryota; Metazoa; Chordata; Mammalia; Chiroptera; Vespertilionidae
Gene: CYB5R4
Gene name: cytochrome b5 reductase 4
Exons: 16
Source: RefSeq, a predicted model, not a curated record